This 265-nucleotide small RNA is filed under the name Lederbergia galactosidilytica. RNAcentral describes it as "Bacillus galactosidilyticus BsrG". It matches the Rfam family "BsrG". Rfam says of the family: bsrE, bsrG and bsrH pair through intermolecular interactions with antisense sRNAs. SR4 interaction with the 3'UTR of bsrG RNA promotes bsrG degradation and inhibits its translation. Lineage: Bacteria; Bacillati; Bacillota; Bacilli; Caryophanales; Bacillaceae. The record is from Rfam by way of RNAcentral.
GACAAUAGCAUAUUGGAUAACUCAAGGGUGGUUAGCACACUCCCGAAAGGGGGUGAUGCUUUAUGACAGUUGCAGAAUCAUUGAUGCUUAUGGUAAGUUUUGGAGCGUUAAUUGUUGCAAUUAUGUCAGAUAAAAAUAACAAAAAAUAAAAUCCACCCUUGAGUUUGCGGCUCGUUUCGGUGGAUUUUAUCUGCUAACAUUCGUGCUGAUCCCCCUUGCAGGGAACCUAGCUAUUGUAUAGGCUGGAGGUGUUACAGCACCUUCA